GAGUUUGAUCCUGGCUCAGGAUGAACGCUAGCGGCAGGCUUAACACAUGCAAGUUGAGGGGUAGAAAUAGCUUGCUAUUUUGAGACCGGCGCACGGGUGCGUAACGCGUAUGCAAUCUGCCUUUUGCAAAGGGAUAGCCCAGAGAAAUUUGGAUUAAUACCUUAUAGUAUAACGAUGUGGCAUCGCAUUGUUAUUAAAGAUUUAUCGGCAAAAGAUGAGCAUGCGUCCCAUUAGCUAGUUGGUAAGGUAACGGCUUACCAAGGCUACGAUGGGUAGGGGUCCUGAGAGGGAGAUCCCCCACACUGGUACUGAGACACGGACCAGACUCCUACGGGAGGCAGCAGUGAGGAAUAUUGGACAAUGGGGGCAACCCUGAUCCAGCCAUGCCGCGUGUGUGAAGAAGGCCUUCGGUUGU
This 415-nucleotide ribosomal RNA is filed under the name uncultured Flavobacterium sp. Its description in RNAcentral is "bacterial SSU rRNA". It matches the Rfam family "Bacterial small subunit ribosomal RNA", at positions 9 to 426 of the family's 1533-position model. Lineage: Bacteria; Pseudomonadati; Bacteroidota; Flavobacteriia; Flavobacteriales; Flavobacteriaceae. The record is from RNAcentral.